GAUGAACACUGGCGGCGUGCCUAAUACAUGCAAGUCGAACGCAUCCCGUUAAAUGAAGUGCUUGCACGGAUUUUAACAUUGGAUGAGUGGCGAACUGGUGAGUAACACGUGGGUAACCUGCCCGGAAGCAGGGGAUAACACUUGGAAACAGGUGCUAAUACCGUAUAACAACAAAAACCGCAUGGUUUUUGUUUGAAAGGUGGUUUCGGCUAUCACUUCUGGAUGGACCCGCGGCGUAUUAGCUAGUUGGUGGAGUAAUGGUUCACCAAGGCAAUGAUUCGUAGCCGACCUGAGAGGGUAAUCGGCCACAUUGGGACUGAGACACGGCCCAAACUCCUACGGGAGGCAGCAGUAGGGAAUCUUCCACAAUGGACGAAAGUCUGAUGGAGCAACGCCGCGUGAGUGAAGAAGGUUUUCGGAUCGUAAAACUCUGUUGUUGAAGAAGAGCACGUUUGAGAGUAACUGUUCAGACGUUGACGGUAUUCAACCAGAAAGCCACGGCUAACUACGUGCCAGCAGCCGCAGUAA
Molecule: ribosomal RNA, 528 nt
Filed under: uncultured bacterium
Lineage: Bacteria
Description: partial 16S ribosomal RNA
Rfam family: Bacterial small subunit ribosomal RNA
Source: RNAcentral